RNAcentral lists this unclassified non-coding RNA (206 nucleotides) under uncultured fungus. RNAcentral's name for it is "sequence contains ITS1". Lineage: Eukaryota; Fungi. The record is from RNAcentral.
CCGAAGUUCUGGACAGGAUGAAGAAUUCUGUUGGAGAAAGAAACUUUACCCAUGUGUACCGAAAGUCAGUCUUUGGCGACCCGUUCUCAGCACCAAGAAUGCUUGUAGCUGAAGAACCACUGAUGAAAAUGAGUGAGUCGGUUGCCUAAGGAUCAAACUCUGUAAACUAUGUGAAUGGCUAUGUGAAAUAUUACAAUCAAGUAACA